CCACUCCACCUUCGAAUGGGCUCUAUAUGGUCUCUUUGUUUUAGUUGCAGAUCAAAUGGAGAAAAGGAGGGCUUUUAUUUAUCUACAAGCUUUUGAUUGUUUUUUUCUUAAUUUUGUGUUUUGUGUUGUUUGUGCAUGUAGAAACUAGAGACUUCUCUGGUCUUUUUGAGGCUCUUGACUUUUCAUGAUUUUUUUUAGAAAAAGAAUGUUGCCUUUGUGUGGCAAUUUUUCUCUCUGAUGGUUAUUGUAAAGUCUGUCAGGUAAUGCUUCAUUUGGAUAGAUAUCUAUCUCAUCGUGAGGAGGGUGC
RNAcentral lists this long non-coding RNA (307 nucleotides) under Manihot esculenta (cassava). RNAcentral's name for it is "long non-coding RNA (MESC_LNC007715)". The record is from RNAcentral. Lineage: Eukaryota; Viridiplantae; Streptophyta; Magnoliopsida; Malpighiales; Euphorbiaceae.